This is a long non-coding RNA of Magnolia sinica, 761 nucleotides long. RefSeq lists it as uncharacterized. The transcript is spliced from 2 exons. NCBI's taxonomy places the organism in Eukaryota, Viridiplantae, Streptophyta, Magnoliopsida, Magnoliales, Magnoliaceae. The record is from RefSeq and is a predicted model, not a curated record.
UUCUUCUUAAUCCCAUUAGCAAACUAUCAACACGUCUCAAGGCUUAACAUAUUUAGAGCUUGCAUAUUUUGUAAAUUACCAUAAUAAUUGAAAGAAAAAAUGUCAUCAUUACGAUUUUAUUAAUAGCAAAGUAGAAUUAUUGGCUAAAUACAAUUGUUGAAAGAAUUUUUAAUCGUUAUACUUUUUAUGGCAUUAUUGUGAAAAUCUCAAAUGCAAAUAACAUCAUCAAUAUAUUUUAAUGAUAAUUUAGCAUUAAAGUAAUAUAAUGUCAUCAUUAAGAUUGUAGCACCGAUGAACCAAAUAUGAGAAUCAGAUAUCAAAUACAAACGUUGUUAGGAGAAAUGCAAAGUAAUUUAUAAUCAUUGCACAUUUCAUUUUAGUUAUUGUAAUAAGUAGUGAAACAUACCUAACAUGUUUGUAGGAAUUUGGAGCUGAGAGGUAAUUCAUGCUAUGCAAAUGGACUGGCCCAAUUAGCAAAUGAAUUCAUAGGGUAGGAGACAUGUAUGAAAACAAUUCAUGAUUUAAAGACAAUUUAAGAGAGAAUACAAAAUAUAGAAAUAGAGAACUUUUAUAAAGUCCUUUGGUAAUGCGAAAUUGUCAAAUCAAAUAGUAAUUCUAUUAUUUCAUUAUAAGUGUUGCUUUGAUCAUGAAAAUAUUAAAAGAUCAAUGGUCAAACAAUGAAAAGAAUCUCUCCUAACUUUAGAAAUCUACAUUUAACAACUUUUUUUCUUUUAGGGUAUGUUUGAAGUCAUGGAUUUUAG